RNAcentral lists this ribosomal RNA (414 nucleotides) under Bradyrhizobium japonicum. RNAcentral's name for it is "bacterial SSU rRNA". It matches the Rfam family "Bacterial small subunit ribosomal RNA", at positions 19 to 458 of the family's 1533-position model. Lineage: Bacteria; Pseudomonadati; Pseudomonadota; Alphaproteobacteria; Hyphomicrobiales; Nitrobacteraceae. The record is from RNAcentral.
CUGGCUCAGAGCGAACGCUGGCGGCAGGCUUAACACAUGCAAGUCGAGCGGGCGUAGCAAUACGUCAGCGGCAGACGGGUGAGUAACGCGUGGGAACGUACCUUUUGGUUCGGAACAACACAGGGAAACUUGUGCUAAUACCGGAUAAGCCCUUACGGGGAAAGAUUUAUCGCCGAAAGAUCGGCCCGCGUCUGAUUAGCUAGUUGGUGAGGUAAUGGCUCACCAAGGCGACGAUCAGUAGCUGGUCUGAGAGGAUGAUCAGCCACAUUGGGACUGAGACACGGCCCAAACUCCUACGGGAGGCAGCAGUGGGGAAUAUUGGACAAUGGGGGCAACCCUGAUCCAGCCAUGCCGCGUGAGUGAUGAAGGCCUCUAGGGUUGUAAAGCUCUUUUGUGCGGGAAGAUAAUGACGGU